RNAcentral lists this ribosomal RNA (468 nucleotides) under uncultured bacterium. Its description in RNAcentral is "partial 16S ribosomal RNA". It matches the Rfam family "Bacterial small subunit ribosomal RNA", at positions 28 to 507 of the family's 1533-position model. The record is from RNAcentral.
GACGAACGCUGGCGGCGUGCUUAACACAUGCAAGUCGAACGGAAAGGCCCUGCGUUUGUGGGGUGCUCGAGUGGCGAACGGGUGAGUAACACGUGAGUAACCUGCCCUUGACUUUGGGAUAACUUCAGGAAACUGGGGCUAAUACCGGAUAGAAGCUCCUGCUGCAUGGUGGGGGUUGGAAAGUUUCGGCGGUUGGGGAUGGACUCGCGGCUUAUCAGCUUGUUGGUGGGGUAGUGGCUUACCAAGGCUUUGACGGGUAGCCGGCCUGGGAGGGUGACCGGCCACAAUGGGACUGAGAGACGGCCCAGACUCCUACGGGAGGCAGCAGUGGGGAACAUUGCACAGUGGGCGGAAGCCUGAUGCAGCAACGCCGCGUGCGGGAUGACGGCCUUCUGGUUGUAAACCGCUUUCGCAGGUGACGAGGCGUGAGUGACGGUAAUGGGUAAAGAAGCACCGGCUAACUACGUG